RNAcentral lists this ribosomal RNA (465 nucleotides) under Vreelandella stevensii. Its description in RNAcentral is "partial 16S ribosomal RNA". It matches the Rfam family "Bacterial small subunit ribosomal RNA", at positions 338 to 795 of the family's 1533-position model. The record is from RNAcentral. Lineage: Bacteria; Pseudomonadati; Pseudomonadota; Gammaproteobacteria; Oceanospirillales; Halomonadaceae.
CCUACGGGGCGCAGCAGUGGGGAAUAUUGGACAAUGGGCGAAAGCCUGAUCCAGCCAUGCCGCGUGUGUGAAGAAGGCCUUCGGGUUGUAAAGCACUUUCAGUGGGGAAGAAAGCCUUGGGGCUAAUACCCUCGAGGAAGGACAUCACCCACAGAAGAAGCACCGGCUAACUCCGUGCCAGCAGCCGCGGUAAUACGGAGGGUGCGAGCGUUAAUCGGAAUUACUGGGCGUAAAGCGCGCGUAGGCGGUCUGAUAAGCCGGUUGUGAAAGCCCCGGGCUCAACCUGGGAACGGCAUCCGGAACUGUCAGGCUAGAGUGCAGGAGAGGAAGGUAGAAUUCCCGGUGUAGCGGUGAAAUGCGUAGAGAUCGGGAGGAAUACCAGUGGCGAAGGCGGCCUUCUGGACUGACACUGACGCUGAGGUGCGAAAGCGUGGGUAGCAAACAGGAUUAGAUACCCGGGUAGUC